Molecule: long non-coding RNA, 2346 nt
Organism: Daphnia pulex (common water flea)
Lineage: Eukaryota; Metazoa; Arthropoda; Branchiopoda; Diplostraca; Daphniidae
Exons: 5
Source: RefSeq, a predicted model, not a curated record
CAAAAGUGACAAAGCCGUGAUUCCGUGAAUUCCGUUUCUGGUGACUGGUGGCUGACUUUCUGGUGGCUGACUUUCGGACUUUCUCACAAUAAUUUACUACUUUAUCAUUUAUCAAACUCAAACUCACAGUAAUUUAUUUGAGUUCUGCUGCCUUCUGCCUUGCAAAAAGUUGUUAGUCAAUAGUCAUAUUACGCCAUAGCACAGACCCAGAUUGUGAGGCUGCCAUCAGCAAAGUUAUAAUGUUAUACAGAGUUUCAACCCAUUGAAUUUUUUUAUUGUAGCAAUUGUAAAUACCAGUUGUAGGUAUCGAAUUCAUAUGGCAAAUUAGUCAAUUCAUGCGAAAGUUGACUUUCGUUUCUCGAUUGAUCAACCUGUGUUGCCCACGUUUUUCCUGUUUUCCCUAACGUAAUGGAAACAAAGCAGUCAAAUCUCAAAUAAUAAGUAAAUGUUUGAAACAGCCCACAUGCCCAGAUCAGAUGGUGGAAGAAGUGCAGAAAUGAGGCAUGGAUUGUUUCGCCUGUAUUUCUUAGAUUUUUCAAUUUCCCUUGCUUAAAAAAAUGAGUGCUUCUAUAGAUUGUGUGUUGUGUAUUUUCAUUAGGUAAUAUUCAGUAUUCACCCCACCACUUGGCUCCAAUGCAACAGCAAUAAUGAAGUCUAAGCUGUUCAAGUAGGCCUCAGUGUGACUGUCACCGUGACUGUUGAAGUUACCUCUGCGCAUGAAGAGAAACACAUGAAGAAACAGCAACACUUACCUACAUCUACAUGAACUUCCAGACACAAUGUUUGCCUGAUAAAAGAAGAAUUCCAAUCUCCAGUCUACAUGGGGUUGGCAUGGAUUAUUGUUCCAGAUCAGGCAAAAAAUAUCAUUGUUGAAGAAAACCAGUGAGAAGAAUGUCGACAUUGGUGGUGGACAGCAGUGCAGAACGAAAGUCAAUCUAGUUUUUUCUAACAUGUGUAAGCUUCAACCAGUUCACCAGCGAAAGAAGACUCUGGAACCUUCUGGAGUCAUGGCCGACAUAGACGCGAAUGCUGGAUAUUCAUUGCAAAACGCAUCUUUGUCUAAAAAACUUACUUCCGGGAAGGAAUUUGCUUUGGUAAUGAAACACUUGCCAUAGAGGAGAGUAAUAAUACUUCACACUUCUCGAGCCCCUACUAUAGGAUCUGAGGGCUGAGGCAGUGACAGCCAUGAUAUCGCUGACAAACAGUUGCUAUACAAGGAACUCGACGAACAGUUGCUAGAGAGGAAUUUCAAACGAUCGUCAAAGUUGAGAAAGAAGAUGAUGACUCCAUACAAUCAAAUCAAAUUACGUGUUAAAUCUGAACCCAAAGUAGAGCCUCAAGAUUCAUCUGUUACCGGUACACCAACAUCCAACGGAAGUUACUCCACAUGUCCAAGACUAGCAUUAUUGUGGCAUACGCAAAAGGUAACGUACGAUUCAUAGUUCAGUUGGAAUCACUAUCACGAGGAAAGCAGUCGAAAGCUCCUUUAUCAAGUGACGUCGUAUUGAAGUUGGACAUGAAAGUGCGGCACAAGACGUAUGUUAGCCUGUACACGAGAAAUUUCUUUGCAUGAAUUUCUCUUAAAUGAAGCAUUAUUGGCUCUUAACUAGUAAUAAUCUGAACGUGUGUAAGGCAUUUCUACAUUCAAGUCAUUUCUAAAACGACGUCGGUAAGAAAGGUUAGAAAAAGCUAGCUGAACCUAAAGAAAAGAAGUACAAUUCAAGUAAAGAUAUGAAGUAUGUUUUAUUUGUCCCACCUCCAACAAGGUCCCUUGUUUGAAAACCUGUUGGCUGCUACCUAUGAAUCUCCUUUUUUACUUACUUAAACGGGCCCUCUUGAUUGAGGGCAACUCCUCCGCUACUGAUCAUUCACUGGGCCCAACUUCAUCCAUUGGUGAAAGCUGACGAGAGAAUGCUGUAAUUCAAGACUGAUAUGUUGUGUAGUUGUUAGAUAAAUUAAAGGUGCAUAUCUGGGCUCCCUUCUUUUAUGUGGCCUCGUUUCCAUAACUAAUCACUAACCAACGCCCGCCGGUGGUCACUCACUCGCUGCGACAACCAGGAGGAAGGGAGUGGGAUGGUCGAACGGGGACUUGCAAGGCGCAUGAUUCGAUGAAACCUGUUGGAGGGUCAUGAGUCAAUAAAAUGCGCCCUAGCCGGAAGCCUACUAUGAUUAAUCGCUCUCUUAAAAACUGUUCCUCAACUCUUCGCUCUUUUCCGGUUUCUCUUAACCACGACCGUGUCAUCUCCCUGGUCCAGUCAAUCGAGGCAGAGUUUCCCCCUGCUUCGAUUGGCUGCGUCUUGAACCGGACGGUCUAUUUAAUAAAUAAAUCGCCUUUAUUAAAAACAA